This 480-nucleotide ribosomal RNA is filed under the name uncultured bacterium. RNAcentral's name for it is "bacterial SSU rRNA". It matches the Rfam family "Bacterial small subunit ribosomal RNA", at positions 30 to 506 of the family's 1533-position model. The record is from RNAcentral.
AUUGAACGCUGGCGGCAUGCCUUACACAUGCAAGUCGAACGGCAGCACGGGAGCAAUCCUGGUGGCGAGUGGCGAACGGGUGAGUAAUAUAUCGGAACGUGCCCAGUCGUGGGGGAUAACGCAGCGAAAGUUGUGCUAAUACCGCAUACGAUCUAUGGAUGAAAGCGGGGGAUCGCAAGACCUCGCGCGAUUGGAGCGGCCGAUAUCAGAUUAGGUUGUUGGUGAGGUAAAAGCUCACCAAGCCUGCGAUCUGUAGCUGGUCUGAGAGGACGACCAGCCACACUGGAACUGAGACACGGUCCAGACUCCUACGGGAGGCAGCAGUGGGGAAUUUGGACAAUGGACGAAAGUCUGAUCCAGCAAUGCCGCGUGCAGGACGAAGGCCCUCGGGUUGUAAACUGCUUUGUACAGAACGAAAAGUCUUUAAUAACACUAGAGGCUCAUGACGGUACUGUAAGAAUAAGCACCGGCUAACUACCG